CCAGCUCCAAUAGCGUAUAUUAAAAUUGUUGCAGUUAAAAAGCUCGUAGUUGGAUUUCUGGUUUGGCGCGCUUGGCCCGCUGCGGUUACGUAGUUGUGUGCCGGUGUGCGCCUACCAUCCAUCUAGAGAACUAUUACGCCCUUCACUGGGUUGUGGUAGGUAUCUAGAUCUUUUACUUUGAAAAAAUUAGAGUGUUUAAAGCAGGCUUGUGCUAUGAAUACAUUAGCAUGGAAUAAUAAUUUAGGACUUUGGUCUUAUUUUGUUGGUUUCUAGGACUGAAGUAAUGAUUGAUAGGGAUAGUUGGGGGUGCUAGUAUUCAGCGGCCAGAGGUGAAAUUCUUGGAUUCGCUGAAGACUAACUUAUGCGAAAGCAUUCACCAAGGAUGUCUUCU
This 391-nucleotide ribosomal RNA is filed under the name uncultured Cercomonas. RNAcentral's name for it is "SSU rRNA". It matches the Rfam family "Eukaryotic small subunit ribosomal RNA", at positions 585 to 972 of the family's 1831-position model. Lineage: Eukaryota; Cercozoa; Cercomonadida; Cercomonadidae. The record is from RNAcentral.